CUGUGGUCAGGUAGAGAAUACCAAGGCGAUCGGGUGAACUGUGGUUAAGGAACUCGGCAAAUUGCCCCCGUAACUUCGGGAGAAGGGGGGCCUCCGCUGGUGAUCAGACUUGCUUUGUGAGCUGGUGGGGGUCGCAGAGGCCAGGGGGAAGCGACUGUUUACUAAAAACACAGGUCCGUGCGAAGUCGUAAGACGAUGUAUACGGACUGACGCCUGCCCGGUGCUGGAACGUUAAGGGGACCGGUUAGCGCACUUCGGUGUGCGAGGCUGAGAACUUAAGCGCCAGUAAACGGCGGUGGUAACUAUAACCAUCCUAAGGUAGCGAAAUUCCUUGUCGGGUAAGUUCCGACCUGCACGAAUGGCGUAACGACUUCCCCGCUGUCUCAACCGCAGACCCGGCGAAAUUGCACUACGAGUAAAGAUGCUCGUUACGCGCAGCAGGACGGAAAGACCCCGGGACCUUCACUACAGCUUGACAUUGGCGUUUGGAACGUCUUGUGUAGGAUAGGUGGGAGACUGUGAAGCUGUCACGCUAGUGGCGGUGGAGUCAUUGGUGAAAUACCACUCUGGUCGUUUUGAACGUCUAACUUCGGUCCGUGAUCCGGAUCAGGGACAGUGUCUGGUGGGUAGUUUAACUGGGGCGGUUGCCUCCUAAAGAGUAACGGAGGCGCCCAAAGGUUCCCUCAGCCUGGUUGGUAAUCAGGUGUCGAGUGUAAGUGCACAAGGGAGCUUGACUGUGAGACCGACGGGUCGAGCAGGAGCGAAAGCUGGGACUAGUGAUCCGGCGGUGGCAUGUGGAAGCGCCGUCGCUCAACGGCUAAAAGGUACCCCGGGGAUAACAGGCUGAUCUUCCCCAAGAGUCCAUAUCGACGGGAUGGUUUGGCACCUCGAUGUCGGCUCGUCGCAUCCUGGGGCUGGAGUAGGUCCCAAGGGUUGGGCUGUUCGCCCAUUAAAGCGGUACGCGAGCUGGGUUUAGAACGUCGCGAGACAGUUCGGUCCCUAUCCGCUGCGCGCGCAGGAGACUUGAAAGGAGCUGUCCCUAGUACGAGAGGACCGGGACGGACGAACCUCUGGUGUGCCAGUUGUUCCGCCAGGAGCAUGGCUGUUGGCUACGUUCGGAAGGGAUAACCGCCGAAAGCAUCUAAGCGGGAAGCUCGCCUUGAGAUGAGGUCUCCCACCACGUGAGUGGGUAAGGCCCCCGGGAGACGACCGGGUUGAUAGGCCGGAGGUGGAAGCAUGGUAACGUGUGGAGCUGACCGGUACUAAUAGGCCGAGGACUUGACCU
Molecule: ribosomal RNA, 1285 nt
Filed under: metagenome
Description: bacterial LSU rRNA
Rfam family: Bacterial large subunit ribosomal RNA
Source: RNAcentral